This 599-nucleotide ribosomal RNA is filed under the name Enterobacter cloacae. Its description in RNAcentral is "bacterial SSU rRNA". It matches the Rfam family "Bacterial small subunit ribosomal RNA", at positions 35 to 625 of the family's 1533-position model. Lineage: Bacteria; Pseudomonadati; Pseudomonadota; Gammaproteobacteria; Enterobacterales; Enterobacteriaceae. The record is from RNAcentral.
GGGAAUGGCGCGGCCUACACAUGCAAGUCGAACGGUAGCACAGAGAGCUUGCUCUCGGGUGACGAGUGGCCGAUUGGUGAGUAAUGUCUGGGAAACUGCCUGAUGGAGGGGGAUAACUACUGGAAACGGUAGCUAAUACCGCAUAACGUCGCAAGACCAAAGAGGGGGACCUUCGGGCCUCUUGCCAUCAGAUGUGCCCAGAUGGGAUUAGCUAGUAGGUGGGGUAACGGCUCACCUAGGCGACGAUCCCUAGCUGGUCUGAGAGGAUGACCAGCCACACUGGAACUGAGACACGGUCCAGACUCCUACGGGAGGCAGCAGUGGGGAAUAUUGCACAAUGGGCGCAAGCCUGAUGCAGCCAUGCCGCGUGUAUGAAGAAGGCCUUCGGGUUGUAAAGUACUUUCAGCGGGGAGGAAGGUGUUGUGGUUAAUAACCGCAGCAAUUGACGUUACCCGCAGAAGAAGCACCGGCUAACUCCGUGCCAGCAGCCGCGGUAAUACGGAGGGUGCAAGCGUUAAUCGGAAUUACUGGGCGUAAAGCGCACGCAGGCGGUCCGUCAAGUCGGAUGUGAAAUCCCCGGGCUCAACCUGGUAACUGCA